This 292-nucleotide ribosomal RNA is filed under the name uncultured bacterium. Its description in RNAcentral is "partial 16S ribosomal RNA". It matches the Rfam family "Bacterial small subunit ribosomal RNA", at positions 502 to 793 of the family's 1533-position model. The record is from RNAcentral.
UCCGUGCCAGCAGCCGCGGUAAUACGGAGGGUGCGAGCGUUAAUCGGAAUUACUGGGCGUAAAGCGCAUGUCAGGUGGUUUGUUAAGUCAGAUGUGAAAGCCCGGGGCUCAACCUCGGAACUGCAUUUGAAACUGGCAGACUAGAGUACUGUAGAGGGGGUAGAAUUUCAGGUGUAGCGGUGAAAUGCGUAGAGAUCUGAAGGAAUACCGGUGGCGAAGGCGGCCCCCUGGACAGAUACUGACACUCAGAUGCGAAAGCGUGGGGAGCAAACAGGAUUAGAUACCCUGGUAG